UACAGAGGUCCCGAGCGUUGUUCGGAUUCACUGGGCGUAAAGGGUGCGUAGGUGGCGAGGUAAGUCGGAUGUGAAAGCUCGGAGCUCAACUCCGAAAUGGCAUUGGAAACUACCUUGCUCGAGGGUUGGAGGGGGGACUGGAAUUCUCGGUGUAGCAGUGAAAUGCGUAGAUAUCGAGAGGAACACCAGUGGCGAAGGCGGGUUGCUGGGCUGACACUGACGCUGAUGCGCGAAAGCCAGGGGAGCGAACGGG
This 253-nucleotide ribosomal RNA is filed under the name uncultured bacterium. Its description in RNAcentral is "partial 16S ribosomal RNA". It matches the Rfam family "Bacterial small subunit ribosomal RNA", at positions 524 to 776 of the family's 1533-position model. The record is from RNAcentral.